GUGGGGAAUAUUGGACAAUGGGCGCAAGCCUGAUCCAGCCAUGCCGCGUGAGUGAUGAAGGCCUUAGGGUUGUAAAGCUCUUUCAGUGGGGACGAUAAUGACGGUACCCACAGAAGAAGCCCCGGCUAACUUCGUGCCAGCAGCCGCGGUAAUACGAAGGGGGCUAGCGUUGUUCGGAUUUACUGGGCGUAAAGCGCACGUAGGCGGAUCGUUAAGUCGGGGGUGAAAUCCUGGAGCUCAACUCCAGAACUGCCUUCGAUACUGGCGAUCUUGAGUCCGGAAGAGGUGAGUGGAACUCCUAGUGUAGAGGUGGAAUUCGUAGAUAUUAGGAAGAACACCAGUGGCGAAGGCGGCUCACUGGUCCGGUACUGACGCUGAGGUGCGAAAGCGUGGGGAGCAAACAGGAUUAGAACCCGUGUAGUCC
RNAcentral lists this ribosomal RNA (424 nucleotides) under uncultured bacterium. Its description in RNAcentral is "partial 16S ribosomal RNA". It matches the Rfam family "Bacterial small subunit ribosomal RNA", at positions 354 to 796 of the family's 1533-position model. The record is from RNAcentral.